UACGGGGGGUGCGAGCGUUGUUCGGAAUUAUUGGGCGUAAAGCGCGUGCAGGCGGUUUUGUAAGUCUGAUGUGAAAGCCCCGGGCUCAACCCGGGAAGCGCACUGGAUACUGCAAGACUUGAGUUCGGGAGAGGAGAGUGGAAUUCCUGGAGUAGGGGUGAAAUCCGUAGAUAUCAGGAAGAACACCGGUGGCGAAAGCGGCUCACUGGAUCUCUUCUGACGCUGAGGCACGAAAGCUAGGGUAGCAAACGGG
RNAcentral lists this ribosomal RNA (253 nucleotides) under uncultured bacterium. RNAcentral's name for it is "partial 16S ribosomal RNA". It matches the Rfam family "Bacterial small subunit ribosomal RNA", at positions 524 to 776 of the family's 1533-position model. The record is from RNAcentral.